RNAcentral lists this ribosomal RNA (253 nucleotides) under uncultured bacterium. Its description in RNAcentral is "partial 16S ribosomal RNA". It matches the Rfam family "Bacterial small subunit ribosomal RNA", at positions 524 to 776 of the family's 1533-position model. The record is from RNAcentral.
UACGGGGGGGGUAAGCGUUGUUCGGAAUUACUGGGCGUAAAGGGCGCGUAGGCGGCCGCCUAAGUCAGACGUGAAAUCCCUCGGCUCAACCGGGGAACUGCGUCUGAUACUGGGUGGCUUGAAUCCGGGAGAGGGAUGCGGAAUUCCAGGUGUAGCGGUGAAAUGCGUAGAUAUCUGGAGGAACACCGGUGGCGAAGGCGGCAUCCUGGACCGGCAUUGACGCUGAGGCGCGAAAGCCAGGGGAGCAAACGGG